This 792-nucleotide unclassified non-coding RNA is filed under the name Zea mays. RNAcentral's name for it is "misc RNA Zm00001eb245800". Lineage: Eukaryota; Viridiplantae; Streptophyta; Magnoliopsida; Poales; Poaceae. The record is from RNAcentral.
CUGCGUCUCCCUCUGCUCACGCGCUCCCCUGUUCAUCUCACUGCGCAUGCAGCGGUGUUCGGCUCCAGCUCGCCGGACCUCCCUGCCCAGCUCCCAGCGUCGAGCUUACCUCUGUCCAUGCCGCGCGCCCUUCCUGCUCGCCGCGUCGCGCCCCAGCUCUCUGGCGUGCCGAGCUCGCCCUACGCGCGCUACAAGUUUCCUUCUCCAAUCGCCGCGCGCCGCGCACGCUGCUUCCUGGAGCUCGGCCGUGACCUCGCCGUCGUUCAUCAGCUCCAGCGCACAGCCGAACUCCCCUGCCUCCCAUGGCCGAGUGUCCAGCUCCCUUGUUCCCUGAUUUCUGCGCGCCGCACGCGCCUCUCCCCGAGCUCGCCCAAAUCAGACAGUGUCUCCCUCAGCUCGAUCCCUGUCGUGAAGCUUUCUGGCUCGCCGGCGUUUCACCCGUGCGCGCACGUUCCUGCCGAGCUCGGUCCUGUCCAUCUUGCCGCGCUCGCCGACGUCGCGCUCUGGAAUCCGGUGUCUUCCUCAAUACGCUCCUCCCAAGUCCCAAGUCCCACACGCGCCCUCAUCCUCUCAGCUCCCUACAGAAAUAUCCCAGCUCGCGCCCUCCCUGCUCUCCCCUCGGUGCCGCGCCCAGCUUCUCCUCCCCAUGGCCGCGGCUCCCUAGCGCUCGCCUAUCUGCUCGCGACGCACGCCCAGCCUCUCCCACUCGAGUUCCUCUGCUUCUUCCCCCUGUGUCACGCCCUGGCCAUGGACAUCGGUAUCGACGAGCUCACCCUGAGUUACCUGGCCUGA